UGAAUUAAUUUAAGGUCGUGCCUGCCCAAUGAGGAUUUAAAUGGCCGCGGUAUACUGACCGUGCAAAGGUAGCAUAAUCAUUAGUCUUUUAAUUGAAGGCUGGAAUGAAUGGUUUGACGAAAUAACAACUGUCUCGAUUUAAUAAGUUGAAUUUUAUUUUUAAGUUAAAAAGCUUAAAUGAUAAUGGGGGACGAGAAGACCCUAUAGAUCUUUAUAUGGCGUUUUAAUAUUUUUGUUUGGUUGUAAUUAUAUUAUUAUUAAGAUGUUAUAUUUGGUUGGGGUGACAAGAGAAUAGAAAAACUUCUUUACAUUAAACUGUGAUUUCUGGUUUAAAGAUCCUGUAAUAUGGAAUUAAGAUGAAGAUACCUUAGGGAUAACAGCGUAAUUUUAUUGGAGAGUUCAUAUUGAUAAUGAAGUUUGCGACCUCGAUGUUGGAUUAAGAAAAUGAUUAGGUGCAGAAGU
Molecule: ribosomal RNA, 462 nt
Filed under: Lepidogryllus sp. MCJ-2002
Lineage: Eukaryota; Metazoa; Arthropoda; Insecta; Orthoptera; Gryllidae
Description: partial 16S ribosomal RNA
Rfam family: Archaeal large subunit ribosomal RNA
Source: RNAcentral